This 210-nucleotide unclassified non-coding RNA is filed under the name plant metagenome. Its description in RNAcentral is "partial contains small subunit ribosomal RNA, internal transcribed spacer 1, and 5.8S ribosomal RNA". The record is from RNAcentral.
UCUCCGUUGGUGAACCGGCGGAGGGAUCAUUACUGGAAUCGCAAGAUCCCACAACCCCUGUGAACCUACCGAAACGUUGCCACGGCGGGCGCCCGGCCCCGCGCCGGGCGCUGAGCCCGCCGGCGGCCCCCUACUCUCGUCUCUGCAGCGUGGCAUCUCAGAGUCCCGGAAAACAAGUAAAAACUUUCAACAACGGAUCUCUUGGCUCUA